GUUUUAAGGCAUGUAUGGUACUCUGUGAUAAACAAGACUUCAAUUCUGUUAGAAUGAUGUCUCCAAACUGAUAUUAUAACUGAGUCCUCAGUGAGCCAACCCUGUCUCUCCGUCAUGCCAAUACUUCAGAAUGAUGGGGUGUGUAAUGAAACCACUUAAUUUCAUGGACAUAAACAUUGCUGGACUUCCUUUGUUGUGAAAUGACUUUCUCGAUUAGAAGUAAUGCUAUGUGGACUCUUAUCACCAUGAAUGAGGCAUUCUUUCCAUCCGCAGAUGCUAGUGCUGAAGAGGCAUUAUGACCAGAAAGACAGUGCUGCAUUCAGAAUGUGUGGCUGUUCCCAAAGAGGAGGACUACAAGACAUCGUAUGCACGGUGAAAGGAAGUGUGAACCUGCCACUGGAGCAAUGA
This 408-nucleotide long non-coding RNA is filed under the name Sus scrofa (pig). Its description in RNAcentral is "lncRNA (ENSSSCG00060018556.1)". The record is from RNAcentral. Lineage: Eukaryota; Metazoa; Chordata; Mammalia; Artiodactyla; Suidae.